CAUCCUGCGAACUUUCUAGAGAUAGAUUGGUGCCUUCGGGAACGCAGUGACAGGUGCUGCAUGGCUGUCGUCAGCUCGUGUCGUGAGAUGUUGGGUUAAGUCCCGCAACGAGCGCAACCCUUGUCCUUAGUUACCAGCACGUUAUGGUGGGCACUCUAGGGAGACUGCCGGUGACAAACCGGAGGAGGGUGGGGACGACGUCAAGUCAUCAUGGCCCUUACGGCCGGGGCUACACACGUGCUACAAUGGUGCAUACAGACGGUUGCCAAGCCGCGAGGUGGAGCUAAUCUGAGAAAGUGCAUCGUAGUCCGGAUUGGAGUCUGCAACUCGACUCCAUGGAGUCGGAAUCGCUAGUAAUCGUGAAUCAGAAUGUCACGGUGAAUACGUUCCCGGGCCUUGUACACACCGCCCGUCACACCAUGGGAGUGGGUUGCUCCAGAAGUGGCUAGUCUAACUGCUUGCAGAGGACGGUCACCACGGAGUGAUUCAUGACUGGGGUG
This 500-nucleotide ribosomal RNA is filed under the name uncultured bacterium. Its description in RNAcentral is "bacterial SSU rRNA". It matches the Rfam family "Bacterial small subunit ribosomal RNA", at positions 985 to 1482 of the family's 1533-position model. The record is from RNAcentral.